CUGCCUGUAAGACUGGGAUAACUCCGGGAAACCGGGGCUAAUACCGGAUGGUUGUUUGAACCGCAUGGUUCAGACAUAAAAGGUGGCUUCGGCUACCACUUACAGAUGGACCCGCGGCGCAUUAGCUAGUUGGUGAGGUAACGGCUCACCAAGGCGACGAUGCGUAGCCGACCUGAGAGGGUGAUCGGCCACACUGGGACUGAGACACGGCCCAGACUCCUACGGGAGGCAGCAGUAGGGAAUCUUCCGCAAUGGACGAAAGUCUGACGGAGCAACGCCGCGUGAGUGAUGAAGGUUUUCGGAUCGUAAAGCUCUGUUGUUAGGGAAGAACAAGUGCCGUUCAAAUAGGGCGGCACCUUGACGGUACCUAACCAGAAAGCCACGGCUAACUACGUGCCAGCAGCCGCGGUAAUACGUAGGUGGCAAGCGUUGUCCGGAAUUAUUGGGCGUAAAGGGCUCGCAGGCGGUUUCUUAAGUCUGAUGUGAAAGCCCCCGGCUCAACCGGGGAGGGUCAUUGGAAACUGGGGAACUUGAGUGCAGAAGAGGAGAGUGGAAUUCCACGUGUAGCGGUGAAAUGCGUAGAGAUGUGGAGGAACACCAGUGGCGAAGGCGACUCUCUGGUCUGUAACUGACGCUGAGGAGCGAAAGCGUGGGGAGCGAACAGGAUUAGAUACCCUGGUAGUCCACGCCGUAAACGAUGAGUGCUAAGUGUUAGGGGGUUUCCGCCCCUUAGUGCUGCAGCUAACGCAUUAAGCACUCCGCCUGGGGAGUACGGUCGCAAGACUGAAACUCAAAGGAAUUGACGGGGGCCCGCACAAGCGGUGGAGCAUGUGGUUUAAUUCGAAGCAACGCGAAGAACCUUACCAGGUCUUGACAUCCUCUGACAAUCCUAGAGAUAGGACGUCCCCUUCGGGGGCAGAGUGACAGGUGGUGCAUGGUUGUCGUCAGCUCGUGUCGUGAGAUGUUGGGUUAAGUCCCGCAACGAGCGCAACCCUUGAUCUUAGUUGCCAGCAUUCAGUUGGGCACUCUAAGGUGACUGCCGGUGACAAACCGGAGGAAGGUGGGGAUGACGUCAAAUCAUCAUGCCCCUUAUGACCUGGGCUACACACGUGCUACAAUGGACAGAACAAAGGGCAGCGAAACCGCGAGGUUAAGCCAAUCCCACAAAUCUGUUCUCAGUUCGGAUCGCAGUCUGCAACUCGACUGCGUGAAGCUGGAAUCGCUAGUAAUCGCGGAUCAGCAUGCCG
RNAcentral lists this ribosomal RNA (1247 nucleotides) under Bacillus sp. NAIST1-2. RNAcentral describes it as "bacterial SSU rRNA". It matches the Rfam family "Bacterial small subunit ribosomal RNA", at positions 126 to 1359 of the family's 1533-position model. The record is from RNAcentral. RNAcentral also lists the same sequence under 1 other name. Lineage: Bacteria; Bacillati; Bacillota; Bacilli; Caryophanales; Bacillaceae.